GUGUAAGUAUAAAUAAUUUUACUUUGAAACUGCGAAUGGCUCAUUAUAUCAGUUAUAGUUUAUUAGAAAUAUUUUACUACUUGGAUAACCGGAGUAAUUCUAGGGCUAAUACAUGAAUAAAACCUCAACUUCGGAAGAGGUGUGUUUAUUAGUAUGAAAACCAUAUAUCUUCGGAUAUAAUAGAGAGUAAUAAUAACCUUUCAUAUCGUAUGACGUAAGAUAACGAUAGUUCUUUCAAGUUUCUGCCCUAUCAGCUUUCGAUGGUAGAAUAUGGGACUACCAUG
Molecule: ribosomal RNA, 284 nt
Filed under: Blastocystis sp. subtype 5
Lineage: Eukaryota; Bigyra; Opalinata; Blastocystidae
Description: partial small subunit ribosomal RNA
Rfam family: Eukaryotic small subunit ribosomal RNA
Source: RNAcentral